This is an RNA transcript of Synchiropus splendidus (mandarinfish), 2675 nucleotides long. It is a transcript of the gene named sperm associated antigen 1a, with no coding region annotated. The transcript is spliced from 8 exons. Lineage: Eukaryota; Metazoa; Chordata; Actinopteri; Syngnathiformes; Callionymidae. The record is from RefSeq and is a predicted model, not a curated record.
ACGCUGCAGUGGUGUUUGCGGGAGGCUGGAGGAGGGACAGCCUCGAUGGGGAACACGCAGGAGAAGCCUCCAGUGAGCGGGGGAGGCGGGAUAACAAAACCGGACCGCACCACUGCAGGGACCGCGAACACCACCAGGGACCGAAAUAGCCCUGGAAAUCCCCAUCUGGAGCCUGAAAAAGGACUCACCAAUGGCACCCGGAGCCCGGAGGAGGGAAGCGCAGCGGACACAAGUUAUCUGGACGCUCCCGCUGGAGCCCUCCCCCCACACCUGGCGCGUCUGAAGAACGAGGGGAACCACCUCUUUAAACACGGCCAGUUUGGGGAGGCUUUACUAAAGUACAGCCAGGCCAUCGACGGGUGCGCUGAAGCAGAUGUCGACAGCACUGAGGAUCUGUGCAUCCUCUACUCCAACAGAGCUGCAUGUUACCUGAAGGAUGGGAACAGCACCGACUGCAUCGAGGACUGUACUAAGGCCUUGGAGCUCCAGCCGUUCUCAUUGAAGCCGCUGCUGCGUAGAGCCAUGGCCUAUGAGUCACUGGAGCGUUACAGAAAGGCUUACGUGGAUUAUAAAACUGUCCUGCAGAUCGACACCGGGGUGCAGGCGGCUCAUGACAGCGUCCACAGGAUCACUAAGAUGCUAAUAGAGCAGGACGGCCCCGAGUGGAGGGAGAAGCUUCCAGUGAUUCCCGUCGUCCCGCUGUCCGUCCAGCAGAAACACAGAGAGAAACCGGUCAGCGCUGAGGUGGUUCAGGCCCGAGCUGCAAAGGCUGCACUGGACGAAGCCAGAAGAAAAGAAGCUCGCUUUACUUUGUUGAAGCAGGAUGGGAACGAUCUGGUGAAGAAAGGCCUUUUUGAGGAGGCACUGGUGAAGUACAGUGAAUGUCUCACCAUCAAACCGGAUGAAUGUUCACUCUACACCAACAGGGCUAUAUGUCUCCUGAAGCUGAAUAGAUAUGCGGAGGCCAAACAGGACUGUGACUCUGCACUCCAGCUGGAGCCAAGCAACAAAAAGGCCUUCUACAGACGAGCGCUAGCUUACAAGGGUUUACAGGUAAUGGCCCGGAACAAGAUCACGGGACUACCUCUCCGCCAGCGGUGACCUUCAGGAGGUACUGCAGCUAGAUCCCAAUGUCAGAGAGGCCGAGCAGGAGCUGGAGGUGGUGACACGUCUGCUGAGACAGAGCCUACUGGACGGGACAGCACACACAGCCACGAUGUGAUUUAGAAGCCGAGGAUUCACAUCUGGCGCUGUAGCAACCCUGGAGCCAUCUGCAGCAGUUUAAAUGGAAACUGGUGCCCAGUCCUGGAAAGACCUGUGUCAGCUUCUUCAAGUGCGCACCAGAACCUUACUCACCAGGCAGCUUUGAGUUUAAAGUGUCAUGACCUGAUGACCUGCUUGCACAAUGAAGCUUCUGCGCGAAGGACAGUGUCAUGCAGCGUUGAUAUGACGGGGAGAAGAGUGCCUUAGAGAUUUAUACUGCUCAUGAACGGUUUCUUAAUGAACAGAUUUCUGUAAUGCAUGUUUGCAACGCAGGUUUGAGCAUGAUUAAAUGCAUUUACACUGACUGCUGAUUGUACUGUUCCAGCCUUCACAUCUUCUGUUGGUUUCCUUCUGGCAUGCCAUUCUUGAAUGUAUAGACUAGCAGUUGGAAUUGUCUGAGUGUUCAUAUUUAAAGACAAUGGCAUCACGGUUGAACAUUUGAAAACAGUUGAAAGUUUUGAAAAACAGUUUUAUUUGUAUGAAAAUAUUCUGUUGUGAUUAUCAUCAGUCGGAACUACUACAGCUGGAAGUCUCAGGUUUAGUGAUGUUUCAUCUAAUGUGCACUUAGCUUAUCACAAAGUAGUAAUAGAUCGAUGGACUUUCAGGAACUAAGGUUUCCGUGGUGAUGAUGCAGGUUUGAGAAUCUGAGAUUGGGCUUUGCAUAGUUUACUACCCAAUAAAUUAUUAUGCCGAGCUAUAUUUUUGUCACAUAAAUGACUAGUAAUUUUUUAUUAAAUAUGUAACACAGUUCCGCUUGGUCAAAACUUAUUACUUAUUACAUAUUAUUGAUUGGGUUUUUUUUGUAAAUGAACUUGCAUGCUGGUAUGAAAAUAACAUGAAUGCAAAUAUGUGUGUAAUAUACAGAGAGAAUGCUUAGUCAUGCUUUGCUUUUUUUAAAUAAUAUUUAAAAUGUUUUUUGCAUUUUUCCUUCUAAUCCCACAAAAGUGCCUCUAUGUUAUCUUCACAUUUUCUACUCGUAAUUCACGACCAAAAUAUCCAUGACUUAAAAUAUGGAAGAGCUUUCGUUUUCGGUCAUUAGGGCUCUGUUUGCUUGCGUGUUGGUUUGUACACAUACGAUAACUCCAAAAUGGACUGACAUAUUUCAAGGGGUGAUUGGAAAUGGGCUAACCCAUGGUGUUGGUCGGCUCCUUUGGACUGGUGACCAUAGUAAAGUCCAAAUAGAUGAAAGGCAUCUCCAUUCACCAGACGUUCUGACUUAACAAAACACAGGAUACAAUCAAAUCACUGCAACAUGCCAACUGUCAAUUGACACUGGUGACAAAAUGUGGCUCUACCUGUUCUGAAAACUUUCUUAGCCUGUUCUUCCUCGCCUGUGUCCACAUGCACAUUUUAAAAUAUGUAUACAAAAAUAAGUCAUUAUUUCCUUCUUCAGUCCUUUUCAUUUUUAUUUA